GCUGAAGUAGCUCAGCUGGGAGUGCAUUAGACUGAAGAUCUAAAGGCCCCUGGUUCAACCCGGGGCUUCAGCA
Molecule: transfer RNA, 73 nt
Organism: Tyto alba (common barn owl)
Lineage: Eukaryota; Metazoa; Chordata; Aves; Strigiformes; Tytonidae
Rfam family: tRNA
About the family: Transfer RNA (tRNA) molecules are approximately 80 nucleotides in length. Their secondary structure includes four short double-helical elements and three loops (D, anti-codon, and T loops).
Source: Rfam